This is a long non-coding RNA of Manacus vitellinus (golden-collared manakin), 820 nucleotides long. RefSeq lists it as uncharacterized. Lineage: Eukaryota; Metazoa; Chordata; Aves; Passeriformes; Pipridae. The record is from RefSeq and is a predicted model, not a curated record. The transcript is spliced from 2 exons.
CCUGAACCGAGACCCCCCUGCCAAAUCCGUCACCCUCUUGCAGCUGUUCCAGCCUCUACCCUCCUGUACCAGGCAGCCCCCAGAGGUGCUGGGACAGAGGCUGGACCCGCUGCCCCAGCGCACCUGGAGCACUGCAACCUGGACCGAUGAUGGCUCAGCCCCUGAGCAUGGCAGGCAGCACCCCUGGACAAGGGCCUAGUAAGCUGGCACUGGGAGCAGCCAGGGAGAGAUCCCUUCAGCUGCCCGAGUGCUGCCGUCACUGAGCACUAUCCUGCAAGGGAUCUGUGUGGUGGGGUUCCAGUGGAUCCUGUCCCAGCAGAGCUUGCCCUGUUCCCUCAGCACUCAGCCCUAGCCCCCAAGUGAAACCCCUGCUCGUAGCCCAAGCUGCCCACCUCGUUGCCCUAUCCCCGGUCAUUUCAGGCACCAGCUGCCCCUCUGCAUGAGAAGGCAGGAACCAUUGCAACCUCUGUCUGUCUUCUGUGGUGGGGGUGGUCCCUGCUAAGACAGAUUGUGGCUGUGGGUGGGAGAAGGGAGGGCUGACCCUGGAGGAGCAUGCAGACCCCCUUAAGUGUGAUAAGGGAGGUGUUGGGGUCUGCUGGAGGGGAUGAAAGGAGGGCUGUGUCUCCCACCUCAGCAGUGAGGCAGCUGCAGUAGUGUCUAGGUAUCUCCACCACAGUGACAUGGGUCCAGGUUGUGAGAAGAACACAGUAGGGCGUUGUGUUUUAGGUUCCCCCUUAUUUAUGAGAUAAUUUAUCUGUAUUUAUUUAUUUAUUUGUCUGUGUUCAAUUUGUGUUGUGGAAAUAAAUCCUUUUUCUAGUAA